Molecule: ribosomal RNA, 472 nt
Filed under: uncultured bacterium
Lineage: Bacteria
Description: bacterial SSU rRNA
Rfam family: Bacterial small subunit ribosomal RNA
Source: RNAcentral
UGCAAGUCGUGCGAGAAAGUAUCUUCGGAUAUGAGUAGAGCGGCGGACGGGUGAGUAACGCGUAGGAAUCUACCUAGUAGAAGGGGAUAGCCCGGGGAAACCCGGAUUAAUACCGUAUACCUCCUUCGGGAGAAAGAAGGCCUCUCUUUGAAGCUUUCGCUAUUAGAUGAGCCUGCGUAAGAUUAGCUUGUUGGUGAGGUAAAGGCUCACCAAGGCGACGAUCUUUAGCUGGUCUGAGAGGACGAUCAGCCACAUUGGGACUGAGACACGGCCCAGACUCCUACGGGAGGCAGCAGUGGGGAAUAUUGGACAAUGGGCGCAAGCCUGAUCCAGCCAUACCGCGUGUGUGAAGAAGGCCUUCGGGUUGUAAAGCACUUUAAGCAGGGAGAAAAAGUUAUAAGUUAAUACCUUAUAACCGUGAUGUUACCUGCAGAAUAAGCACCGGCUAAUUCCGUGCCAGCAGCCGCGGUAA